GCUUAACACAUGCAAGUCGAGCGGCAGCGGGAAGAAGCUUGCUUCUUUGCCGGCGAGCGGCGGACGGGUGAGUAAUGUCUGGGGAUCUGCCCGAUGGAGGGGGAUAACUACUGGAAACGGUAGCUAAUACCGCAUAACGUCGCAAGACCAAAGUGGGGGACCUUCGGGCCUCACACCAUCGGAUGAACCCAGAUGGGAUUAGCUAGUAGGUGGGGUAAUGGCUCACCUAGGCGACGAUCCCUAGCUGGUCUGAGAGGAUGACCAGCCACACUGGAACUGAGACACGGUCCAGACUCCUACGGGAGGCAGCAGUGGGGAAUAUUGCACAAUGGGGGAAACCCUGAUGCAGCCAUGCCGCGUGUGUGAAGAAGGCCUUCGGGUUGUAAAGCACUUUCAGCGGGGAGGAAGGCGAUGGCGUUAAUAGCGCUAUCGAUUGACGUUACCCGCAGAAGAAGCACCGGCUAACUCCGUGCCAGCAGCCGCGGUAAUACGGAGGGUGCGAGCGUUAAUCGGAAUUACUGGGCGUAAAGCGUACGCAGGCGGUCUGUUAAGUCAGAUGUGAAAUCCCCGGGCUCAACCUGGGAACUGCAUUUGAAACUGGCAGGCUAGAGUCUCGUAGAGGGGGGUAGAAUUCCAGGUGUAGCGGUGAAAUGCGUAGAGAUCUGGAGGAAUACCGGUGGCGAAGGCGGCCCCCUGGACGAAGACUGACGCUCAGGUACGAAAGCGUGGGGAGCAAACAGGAUUAGAUACCCUGGUAGUCCACGCUGUAAACGAUGUCGAUUUGAAGGUUGUGGCCUUGAGCCGUGGCUUUCGGAGCUAACGCGUUAAAUCGACCGCCUGGGGAGUACGGCCGCAAGGUUAAAACUCAAAUGAAUUGACGGGGGCCCGCACAAGCGGUGGAGCAUGUGGUUUAAUUCGAUGCAACGCGAAGAACCUUACCUACUCUUGACAUCCAGAGAACUUGGCAGAGAUGCUUUGGUGCCUUCGGGAGCUCUGAGACAGGUGCUGCAUGGCUGUCGUCAGCUCGUGUUGUGAAAUGUUGGGUUAAGUCCCGCAACGAGCGCAACCCUUAUCCUUUGUUGCCAGCGAUUCGGUCGGGAACUCAAAGGAGACUGCCGGUGAUAAACCGGAGGAAGGUGGGGAUGACGUCAAGUCAUCAUGGCCCUUACGAGUAGGGCUACACACGUGCUACAAUGG
This 1197-nucleotide ribosomal RNA is filed under the name Sodalis endosymbiont of Ornithomya biloba. Its description in RNAcentral is "bacterial SSU rRNA". It matches the Rfam family "Bacterial small subunit ribosomal RNA", at positions 46 to 1233 of the family's 1533-position model. Lineage: Bacteria; Pseudomonadati; Pseudomonadota; Gammaproteobacteria; Enterobacterales; Bruguierivoracaceae. The record is from RNAcentral.